Molecule: transfer RNA, 74 nt
Filed under: Planctomycetota bacterium
Lineage: Bacteria; Pseudomonadati; Planctomycetota
Description: Planctomycetes bacterium (microbial mat metagenome) tRNA-Val
Rfam family: tRNA
About the family: Transfer RNA (tRNA) molecules are approximately 80 nucleotides in length.
Source: RNAcentral
GGGCGAUUAGCUCAGCUGGCUAGAGCGCACGCUUCACACGCGUGAGGUCACUGGUUCGAGUCCAGUAUCGCCCA